UCCAAUAAAAUUUAAUACCAAAUGUCACAUACUCCAAUUUAAAUAGAAGGAACGUCACAUUUACAUAGUCUCUACUAAUAAGAAAUAAAUGUCAAAAUAGGCCCCAAAACAUUCAAUUACAAAAUCUUAGGAAAACCAAGUCUAAUAAUAAUCUCAAAAGCUAAUUUACUCAAUUGGAUCAAAGGUAGCUCUCAUCACACAUAUCCUGAUCACCCCUGAUUACCUGCCUGAA
RNAcentral lists this long non-coding RNA (232 nucleotides) under Panax ginseng (ginseng). Its description in RNAcentral is "long non-coding RNA (PGIN_LNC003765)". Lineage: Eukaryota; Viridiplantae; Streptophyta; Magnoliopsida; Apiales; Araliaceae. The record is from RNAcentral.